Molecule: ribosomal RNA, 1470 nt
Filed under: metagenome
Description: bacterial SSU rRNA
Rfam family: Bacterial small subunit ribosomal RNA
Source: RNAcentral
AGAGUUUGAUCCUGGCUCAGGACGAACGCUGGCGGCACGCUUAACACAUGCAAGUCGAACGAGAGAAGAGGAGCUUGCUUUUCUGAUCUAGUGGCGGACGGGUGAGUAACACGUGAGCAAUCUGCCUUUCAGAGGGGGAUACCGAUUGGAAACGAUCGUUAAUACCGCAUAACAUAAUUGAACCGCAUGAUUUGAUUAUCAAAGAUUUAUCGCUGAAAGAUGAGCUCGCGUCUGAUUAGCUAGUUGGUAAGGUAACGGCUUACCAAGGCGACGAUCAGUAGCCGGACUGAGAGGUUGAUCGGCCACAUUGGGACUGAGACACGGCCCAGACUCCUACGGGAGGCAGCAGUGGGGAAUAUUGCACAAUGGAGGAAACUCUGAUGCAGCGAUGCCGCGUGAGGGAAGAAGGUUUUAGGAUUGUAAACCUCUGUCUUCAGGGACGAAAAAAGACGGUACCUGAGGAGGAAGCUCCGGCUAACUACGUGCCAGCAGCCGCGGUAAUACGUAGGGAGCGAGCGUUGUCCGGAAUUACUGGGUGUAAAGGGAGCGUAGGCGGGAUCGCAAGUCAGAUGUGAAAACUAUGGGCUUAACCCAUAAACUGCAUUUGAAACUGUGGUUCUUGAGUGAAGUAGAGGUAAGCGGAAUUCCUAGUGUAGCGGUGAAAUGCGUAGAUAUUAGGAGGAACAUCAGUGGCGAAGGCGGCUUACUGGGCUUUAACUGACGCUGAGGCUCGAAAGCGUGGGGAGCAAACAGGAUUAGAUACCCUGGUAGUCCACGCCGUAAACGAUGAUUACUAGGUGUGGGGGGACUGACCCCUUCCGUGCCGCAGCAAACGCAAUAAGUAAUCCACCUGGGGAGUACGACCGCAAGGUUGAAACUCAAAGGAAUUGACGGGGGCCCGCACAAGCAGUGGAGUAUGUGGAUUAAUUCGAAGCAACGCGAAGAACCUUACCAGGUCUUGACAUCGUAUGCAUAGCUCAGAGAUGAGUGAAAUCUCUUCGGAGACAUAUAGACAGGUGGUGCAUGGUUGUCGUCAGCUCGUGUCGUGAGAUAUUGGGUUAAGUCCCGCAACGAGCGCAACCCUUACUGUUAGUUGCUACGCAAGAGCACUCUAGCAGGACUGCCGUUGACAAAACGGAGGAAGGUGGGGAUGACGUCAAAUCAUCAUGCCCCUUAUGACCUGGGCCUCACACGUACUACAAUGGCUGUCAACAGAGGGAAGCAAAGCCGCGAGGUGGAGCGAACCCCUAAAAGCGGUCUUAGUUCGGAUUGUAGGCUGCAACCCGCCUACAUGAAGUCGGAAUUGCUAGUAAUCGCAGAUCAGCAUGCUGCGGUGAAUACGUUCCCGGGCCUUGUACACACCGCCCGUCACGCCAUGGGAGUCGGUAACACCCGAAGCCUGUAGUCUAACCGCAAGGAGGACGCAGUCGAAGGUGGGAUUGAUGACUGGGGUGAAGUCGUAACAAGGUA